Molecule: ribosomal RNA, 895 nt
Filed under: uncultured bacterium
Lineage: Bacteria
Description: bacterial SSU rRNA
Rfam family: Bacterial small subunit ribosomal RNA
Source: RNAcentral
AGAGUUUGAUCCUGGCUCAGAUUGAACGCUGGCGGCAUGCUUUACACAUGCAAGUCGAACGGCAGCACGGGUGCUUGCACCUGGUGGCGAGUGGCGAACGGGUGAGUAAUGCGUCGGAACGUACCGAGUAAUGGGGGAUAACGCGGCGAAAGUCGCGCUAAUACCGCAUACGCCCUGAGGGGGAAAGCAGGGGAUCGCAAGACCUUGCGUUAUUCGAGCGGCCGACGUCUGAUUAGCUUGUUGGUGAGGUAAAGGCUCACCAAGGCGACGAUCAGUAGCGGGUCUGAGAGGAUGAUCCGCCACACUGGGACUGAGACACGGCCCAGACUCCUACGGGAGGCAGCAGUGGGGAAUUUUGGACAAUGGGGGCAACCCUGAUCCAGCCAUGCCGCGUGAGUGAAGAAGGCCUUCGGGUUGUAAAGCUCUUUCAGCUGGAGCGAAACGGUACGCUCUAACAUAGCGUGCUACUGACGGUACCAGCAGAAGAAGCACCGGCUAACUACGUGCCAGCAGCCGCGGUAAUACGUAGGGUGCGAGCGUUAAUCGGAAUUACUGGGCGUAAAGCGUGCGCAGGCGGAUUGUUAAGCAAGACGUGAAAUCCCCGGGCUUAACCUGGGAAUGGCGUUUUGAACUGGCAGUCUAGAGUGCGUCAGAGGGGGGUGGAAUUCCACGUGUAGCAGUGAAAUGCGUAGAGAUGUGGAGGAACACCGAUGGCGAAGGCAGCCCCCUGGGAUGACACUGACGCUCAUGUACGAAAGCGUGGGUAGCAAACAGGAUUAGAUACCCUGGUAGUCCACGCCCUAAACGAUGUCAACUAGUUGUUGGGGGAGUGAAAUCCCUUAGUAACGAAGCUAACGCGUGAAGUUGACCGCCUGGGGAGUACGGUCGCAAGAUU